AUUGAACGCUGGCGGCAUGCCUUACACAUGCAAGUCGAACGGUAACAGGUUAAGCUGACGAGUGGCGAACGGGUGAGUAAUAUAUCGGAACGUGCCCAGUCGUGGGGGAUAACGUAGCGAAAGCUACGCUAAUACCGCAUACGAUCUACGGAUGAAAGCGGGGGAUCGCAAGACCUCGCGCGAUUGGAGCGGCCGAUAUCAGAUUAGGUUGUUGGUGAGGUAAAAGCUCACCAAGCCUGCGAUCUGUAGCUGGUCUGAGAGGACGACCAGCCACACUGGAACUGAGACACGGUCCAGACUCCUACGGGAGGCAACAGUGGGGAAUUUUGGACAAUGGACGCAAGUCUGAUCCAGCAAUGCCGCGUGCAGGACGAAGGCCUUCGGGUUGUAAACUGCUUUUGUACGGAACGAAACGGUGAGCUCUAAUACAGUUUGCUAACGACGGUACCGUAAGAAUAAGCACCGGCUAACUACGUGCCAGCAGCCGCGGUAA
This 493-nucleotide ribosomal RNA is filed under the name uncultured bacterium. Its description in RNAcentral is "partial 16S ribosomal RNA". It matches the Rfam family "Bacterial small subunit ribosomal RNA", at positions 30 to 523 of the family's 1533-position model. The record is from RNAcentral.